This 232-nucleotide ribosomal RNA is filed under the name uncultured bacterium. RNAcentral describes it as "partial 16S ribosomal RNA". It matches the Rfam family "Bacterial small subunit ribosomal RNA", at positions 545 to 776 of the family's 1533-position model. The record is from RNAcentral.
UCGGAAUUACUGGGCGUAAAGGGUGCGCAGGCGGCAGAGCAAGUCGAGUGUGAAAGCCCCGGGCUUAACUUGGGAAUUGCGCUCGAAACUACUUUGCUGGAGUGUGGCAGAGGAAGGUGGAAUUCCACGUGUAGCGGUGAAAUGCGCAGAUAUCAGGAGGAACACCGGUGGCGAAGGCGGGUCUCUGGGCCGUAACUGACGCUGAGGAGCGAAAGCAUGGGGAGCGAACAGG